This 1075-nucleotide long non-coding RNA is filed under the name Homo sapiens (human). RNAcentral's name for it is "HSALNT0316436". The record is from RNAcentral. Lineage: Eukaryota; Metazoa; Chordata; Mammalia; Primates; Hominidae.
UCAAGCGAUUCUCCUGCCUCACCCUCCUGAGUAGCUGGGACUACAGGCCUGCGCCACCACACCUGGCUAACUUCUGAAUAUCAAGCUGAAAUUACUAUCAGAUAUCUUGCCACCACAUAGAGGCUUUGAGUGAAGUCUGCAUGGAGGAGAACAGAGCUGAGAGAUGGAAAGAUACUGAAUCCCAGUGACGUCCUUUGAGAUGUCGGAUCAAGCUGAGCUGGGCAUGAAGAUAGAGCUACUCCUAUACUUUUAAGAUACUCUACCACUCACAGAAACUACCUUUUAGUGCAACCACGGUGGAACCCUGCCAUAGUAUCUCUAGCAAUAACAAGCAAGAUUCAGAAGUCCAACAAGUAAGACAUUGAUUUCAUUAAGAGAGAACUAGUAAGCAAGCUAUUUGGGAAGUACACUCUCAUAAGAAUAUUGUUUCAUGAAGUCUUGAGCAACAAAGGAAAUAGUCCAUGAAGUGCACUGCUGUCAGACUCCCUCUAAGAAUACUUCAACUGCUCAUGAAGCGGGGGGCCUUAACUAUUUACUUCUUUUGGAAGCCUCCAUCUGGCCCAUCUAUCUUUAUUCUCCCAGGAUCACAGGCAGAACACCUGAGCCACAGUAUCAGAACUAGGGUUGGAAGCCUGCUUUUCCUGGAAUGAAACCCCUCACUCUUCAAGUGUCCAGGAGACAAGAGUCAUUGUGCAAGCCUAUCUCUAGAGAGGCUAACAGACUCUUUCUGGCUUUGAAAGAAACAAGCUGCCAUAUUGAAACAAGCUGCCAUAUUAUGUGUGAGCUGCCCUAAGGAAAGACACACAUGGUAAGGAAGAGAGGAUGACCUCUGGCUGAUAGGCAGCAAGAAACUAAGGACCUCAGUCUGAGAACCUGCAAGGAGCUGAAUUCUUCCAAUUACCAUGUGAGCUUGGAAGCAGCUCCUUCCCCAGUCAAGCCUCAGAUGAGACCCCAGCCCUGGCCAACACCUUGAUUGCAGCCUCUUAUGAAGAUUGUAGUCCCUAAGCAGAAAAUCCAGAUAACCUGUGCCCAGAUUGCUGAGCCACAGAAAUUCACUGAGAUAAUAAACGUGUGU